CAUACUAGCUCAGUGGUAGAGCGCUUUCCUCAUAAGAAAGGUGACGUAGGUUCAAAUCCUACAUAUGA
RNAcentral lists this transfer RNA (68 nucleotides) under Stenomitos rutilans HA7619-LM2. RNAcentral's name for it is "tRNA-Met". It matches the Rfam family "tRNA". From Rfam's summary of the family: Transfer RNA (tRNA) molecules are approximately 80 nucleotides in length. Their secondary structure includes four short double-helical elements and three loops (D, anti-codon, and T loops). The record is from RNAcentral. RNAcentral also lists the same sequence under 1 other name. Lineage: Bacteria; Bacillati; Cyanobacteriota; Cyanophyceae; Leptolyngbyales; Leptolyngbyaceae.